AAAUUUAAGCGCUUGGACCGUCCACAGCACAACGGUUGACGAGGUUUGGGGAGAAUCGAUUUUUUUCAGCGGGUGCCCCACGGCAGGUAUGUCGUCAGGCGGUGGGAAAAAACCGGGAGCGAUCCCGGCGACAAAGAC
Molecule: non-coding RNA, 138 nt
Filed under: human gut metagenome
Description: glmS glucosamine-6-phosphate activated ribozyme
Rfam family: glmS glucosamine-6-phosphate activated ribozyme aptamer
About the family: This entry contains a glucosamine-6-phosphate activated ribozyme that is found in the mRNA for GlmS.
Source: RNAcentral